UCUGCUGUGGGAGACAAGAGAAGGGAGAAAAGACGGGGGUGAAACACUCCGCAUCUGCCGUUCCCACGGUGGUCGUCCUCGUCGUCCAACCCUGCGCGCCCGACGAGGACCGCGGCAUCCGCACCUUCACCAAGCAGUCCGCGGCGGACAAGCGCCCCAGCUAUGGGCACCGCCCACGAGCUCUGCGCCGGACGGUCCGGUCAAGGAGCUUUGCAAGCAAAGAUACAAAUUCUGACCAGUUGGAGUUGAACAACAAUAAUCAACAACAUGACUCAGGGAAUGACAGCAUGACUGACCAGCAGGAGCAAACAUCUCGUGGCAUUUGUUCACAAGCUACGUAAACUAUAGUUGAUUUGACAGAAAGUGAUGCAUCAGACGGCAUGUUGCUUGAUGGCUUGAGAACAAUCUUGCAGAAAAGACAAGAGAGGAAGCAGGAAAUGAGUGUUUUAAAAGAGCAAAGGGACAAGGUACUCGUUGACAAAGAAAACUACUUCAAUAUGUUUUUCUACUAACGAGGCCCAGGUCUGUGUACACAUGUGGCCUUUUCCUUCUCAAACAAACAAGAACAAACAAACAAAAAGCCCAACAAAAACAAGGGCAGGUUGCGGGGGUUGUUGGGCUGGAAGGGAUGGGCUGCCCACACAACAAACAAACUGGUCGACACGAGGUGAUCGGGGAGCAACCACGCGUAUUGUUUGUCAACAAGUGGGGACAGAUUAGAUGUAACAUAGACAUACCCUUUUUUUAAUUCAUCAAUAAUUCUUGGACUUUUCUAAAUCCAUGGAAUAUCUUAAAUUUUAUUUAAAAAAAUUCGUGAACAUUUUAAUAAUCCAUGAACAUUUUUUGAAUGUACAUUUAUUUUUUAGUUCUGGUGAAAAUACCACUAGUCGAUAUUGUUCAUUGAACAACAAUUUUUUCUUCAGAGGAGCGAGCGCCACCAUAUAAAAAAUAACGAGCAAAGUUUACAAAGAGAACACCAUUUAGCCAGCCCGCCAGAGGUUAUAGGAGCAAUCCGGGGCUAAAGGCGCUGAAUAAAGUGUUUCCCACCUGCACCAUGUGUUUCUCAAAAAAAAAAAAACCUGCACCAUGUUUGGCUGAUUGUCGCCUUUUUAAUGUGUCUUUUGUCCAUCAGUUUUGGAAAGGUUUUAGAACCUUUCGUGUAUGGGUUUUUCUAUAUAUAUUUUUGCCGGCAUUACCUUUUCCACAGGGUUGUUUCAUUUUCUCUUUUAUUAAUCUUUUUUGUUUCAUUUUUAUUAUAUAAAUUCAUGUGUAUUUUUAAAAAUCCUGAAUUGUUUUUCAAAUUUGCAUCUUCCUCUAUUCUCCUUCAAAGCAUUAGAAUAAAAAAAGACACCAGCUAGCGAACGACAUGCAAGCAAGCAACAACUAGUGCUGCUUGAGCCCGGUCCAACACCCUCGCCAGAGCGCGACACCUGUAUCACUGAGUGGAACAGGAGCGAUCGCUGAGUAAGACAUCAUGGUCGGUAUUCGCCCCUCAGUCAUUGAUAUGAAAAAAAUCACAGAGAAUGAACAUAAUUAUCGAUAUGGAAAAUUUUUAUGGAGAAGCAACAUAACUAAAACUAAUCUUCUACCAAUAAUAUAACAAUCCAGAGACUGAUUACAAUGAGAAUAGCCCAAUGGUGACUUUUGAUUUCGGUGUGCAAUUCACACCUAAACUAGACUGGAAUCAGCUGAGCUACACUCUGACUCUAAUGACUAGCACAAUUAACAUGAAUAAUCACUACUAUUAAAGGAGAGUUUCUAGGUUUGCCUCACCUCCUCCUGGGUUUUUUCCUCCCCAUGCCCCCUCUCUUUUGGUUUCCUCUAGAUUUCUUUAGUAAUUUAAACGAACGUUGCACAAAACAAAACCAACAUACAUAAUUCUAAAUCAAAACGAUACUUUAUUUCUUUGUCAUACUCAUUCUCUCCUCUUAGUUUGCUUGCUAUUUUUUUCACGAUCACCAAUAUAUACUCCAAAAAAAUUGGUAAUCAAUUCACGGAUAAGAAUCAAUCAGAAGACGGUAAUCUUCAUAAAUAUUUUGUAGUCAAAUCAUGAAAAUGAAUCAAUCAUAAGACAAUAAUCUUCAUAAAUAUUAGGCAAUGAAUACAAAAACUACACGAAUCAUGCACAAUGACAAAAAAUACUCAGGAUCAACUUCCUAAACUGAAGGCACCUGAUUUUCCAGGAUUACUAAUCUCUCACAUGUCCUUCCAAAUCAUAAAGCGACGGCCCACAUCUUCCUAACACACCAUCCUUCCCUCCUAAAAAACCUCGUUCUUCCUCUUCUCCACCAUACACACACAGUAAUGCUAGACGUACAGGCACUUACAGGCUGAAUUUAGUUACACGCUGACAUGGCAAAGUGGGAUUGGAAAGAAGGGAGUGAGGCGG
This is a long non-coding RNA of Triticum aestivum (bread wheat), 2389 nucleotides long. RefSeq lists it as uncharacterized. The transcript has 3 exons. The record is from RefSeq and is a predicted model, not a curated record. Lineage: Eukaryota; Viridiplantae; Streptophyta; Magnoliopsida; Poales; Poaceae.